UGACGGUACCUGACUAAGAAGCACCGGCUAAAUACGUGCCAGCAGCCGCGGUAAUACGUAUGGUGCAAGCGUUAUCCGGAUUUACUGGGUGUAAAGGGAGCGUAGGCGGUUUUAUAAGUCUGAAGUGAAAGCCCGGGGCUCAACCCCGGGACUGCUUUGGAAACUGUAGAACUAGAGUGUCGGAGGGGUAAGUGGAAUUCCUAGUGUAGCGGUGAAAUGCGUAGAUAUUAGGAGGAACACCAGUGGCGAAGGCGGCUUACUGGACGAUUACUGACGCUGAGGCUCGAAAGCGUGGGGAGCAAACAGGAUUAGAUACCCUG
This 320-nucleotide ribosomal RNA is filed under the name uncultured bacterium. RNAcentral describes it as "bacterial SSU rRNA". It matches the Rfam family "Bacterial small subunit ribosomal RNA", at positions 470 to 789 of the family's 1533-position model. The record is from RNAcentral.